This 507-nucleotide ribosomal RNA is filed under the name uncultured fungus. RNAcentral's name for it is "bacterial SSU rRNA". It matches the Rfam family "Eukaryotic small subunit ribosomal RNA", at positions 248 to 758 of the family's 1831-position model. The record is from RNAcentral. Lineage: Eukaryota; Fungi.
GAGUCAGAAUAACUCAUCGAAUCGCAUGGCCUUGUGCCGGCGAUGGUUCAUUCAAAUUUCUGCCCUAUCAACUUUCGAUGGGAGGAUAGUGGCCUACCAUGGUUUCAACGGGUAACGGGGAAUUAGGGUUCUAUUCCCGAGAGGGAGCCUGAGAAACGGCUACCCCAUCCCAGGAAGGCGGCAGGCGCGCAAAUUACCCCCUCCCGACACGGGGAGGUAGUGACAAUAAAUACUGAUACAGGGCUCUUUUGGGUCUUGUAAUUGGAAUGAGUACAAUUUAAAUCCCUUAACGAGGAACAAUUGGAGGGCAAGUCUGGUGCCCCCACCCGCGGUAAUUCCCCCUCCAAUAUCGUAUAUAAAAGUUGUUGCAGUUAAAAAGCUCGUAGUUGAACCUUGGGCCUGGGUGGGCGGUCCGCCUCACCGCGUGCACUGUGCCGGCCGGGUCUUUCCUUCUAGGGAACCUCAUGCCUUUCAUUAGGUGUGCGGGGGAACCAGGACUUUUACAAG